AUAUAAAUAGGACUCAAUCAGAUGGCACCAAAACAUGGAGGGACCAAAUGAGAAAUUCACCCAAAGCAGCUAAACACGCGAUCCUCCUCGGGUCGGGUCGGUUCGCACGCGGGUCAGCACGAAACGGUGCCGUUUCAGCACCUGGGUUCCAAAGACUAAGCGGCGCCGUUUUAUUUGUUAUUAAAACAGAAAAAAAAUUCAUUUGAAUGGCAAUCUGCCAUUUUCUACAAAAAUCCAAACAAAUCCCUAACCCCCAUUCUUUUAUCGCUCAGUUGGCCGACAAAGGAACCCUCAGCUCCGUCCUCCACACACCACUGUGAUCGGUGAUAGACAUAGAGCGAAGGUCCAUCUCCUCCCCUUAAAACCAAGCUCAGAAGCCUUAAAAGUUUCCACCCCGGAGACCCCUCUUUGCUUCGAUUGCAACGAAGAAGAUGAGGCUCCGACGGUGCACUUGUGAAGGUAUAUCCCUCGCUUUUUUAUUUUUACACGCAAAGAAAGAAACAAAGAUUCAAGAAGAGAGAAAAAAAAUCGAAAGAAAGAGAUCCGAGAAUCACCUUUGAGAAUUUUUUUCUUUUUCUUUUUGGAUUGAUUUCUAUUCAAAUGUAUGCGUAAAAAAAUCCCUUUACACCGUUUUUAACCGGCUUUAUAUAGCCGAAAAUAAAAAUAAAAAUUUACAAAUUUUGAUUUUUUUUGCUCUCUUUGCUACUGUUAUUUUUUGCUGUUUGUUAUCCUUGUUGUAAUUUGCUGUCAAUCUAUGUUGCCGCUAUUCUGUUUUGCUACUAUGUACGGCGUGGAGAUGGCUGUUCGUGGGAGAGCUGCGGAUGUGGCCAUGACGCGCUGGAGAUCCCUGCUGAGGCAACUGCGGCGCUAGCCUUAGGGUUCCAGUUUCUGGAGCCGAAGAUCUGGGCCAUUCGGGCUCGUUUUAGAAGUGGGCUGUUGGGCCUUAUGAGUUUAGGUUUAGAAUCUGAAAAUUGGGUAGUUUAUUUUAGGCCAUAGUGGGCCAUUGUAACAUGGACUUGGACUUUGUUUUAUUAUUGGGCUUGUAUGGACUGUUUAUUAGUUUUUGUUUUUGUACAGGCCCGGGCAAAAAUGGGCCAUUACAAUACUGAUUGUCGAAUUGUCGAAUUAGCCAAAAUUUUAAAAAGAUUAACAGCUCAAUGACUUAAAUAAAAAUUUUCAAAUAGUAUAAUGAUAUUUUAUAAUAAGUGAUCAAAAUAUAAAUUUAUUAAUACUUUAAUAACUUUGGAUGAAAUUUACCCUAAUCAGAAAAAUGGUGAACGGGUGAGUAACCAUUGGGCUCAAGGCUUAUGGGCUUUUAUCUUAUUGAUUUCCAGAACAGAACCAAAGCAAGUAACCAGUGGCACCAAAAAGCCAUUUCUGAGCAUUUCAAUUUUUUUU
RNAcentral lists this long non-coding RNA (1398 nucleotides) under Gossypium barbadense (sea-island cotton). RNAcentral's name for it is "long non-coding RNA (GBAR_LNC011590)". The record is from RNAcentral. Lineage: Eukaryota; Viridiplantae; Streptophyta; Magnoliopsida; Malvales; Malvaceae.